AGAAAGGAAGGUGGCCAGGCAGGUCUGAGCAGAGGCAGUUCGAGCAGGAAUACAUACGCCCAACACAAGAAUGCAGCAGCCUUGCAGAGAAGCCGAGAAGAUGUCAACACCCAACUUUGCAUUUGCUUUCAGUCAGUUGAUGCAUAGUUUUAAAAAGAAGACCUCGUAGAGUUGGACUGGACCGUGUGCGGGAAAAUUGUUAUUUGUAAGGUGGCAAGAAUAAAUAUUUAAUUAGA
Molecule: long non-coding RNA, 236 nt
Filed under: Mus pahari (shrew mouse)
Lineage: Eukaryota; Metazoa; Chordata; Mammalia; Rodentia; Muridae
Description: lncRNA (MGP_PahariEiJ_G0003845.1)
Source: RNAcentral